UACGGGGGGGGCAAGCGUUGUUCGGAAUUACUGGGCGUAAAGGGCGCGUAGGCGGCCCUCUAAGUCGAACGUGAAAUCCCCGGGCUCAACCUGGGAACUGCAUCCGAUACUGGAUGGCUUGAAUUCGGGAGAGGGAUGCAGAAUUCCAGGUGUAGCGGUGAAAUGCGUAGAUAUCUGGAGGAAUACCGGUGGCGAAGGCGGCAUCCUGGACCGACAUUGACGCUGAACGGCGAAAGCUAGGGGAGCAAACGGG
RNAcentral lists this ribosomal RNA (253 nucleotides) under uncultured bacterium. RNAcentral describes it as "partial 16S ribosomal RNA". It matches the Rfam family "Bacterial small subunit ribosomal RNA", at positions 524 to 776 of the family's 1533-position model. The record is from RNAcentral.